Molecule: long non-coding RNA, 721 nt
Organism: Astyanax mexicanus (Mexican tetra)
Lineage: Eukaryota; Metazoa; Chordata; Actinopteri; Characiformes; Acestrorhamphidae
Exons: 2
Source: RefSeq, a predicted model, not a curated record
UCUCACACACACACACACACACACACACACACACACACACACACACACAUACAGGCACGUACACGCGCACAGACACACACACACACAGUCACGGUUCUGCUCACACACCCGCCAGCCCCCCUUAACCAAACAUUCAGUCUCUUGAGUUCACACACACACACACAGUGAGACAUGUUCAGACACAAAAUUAUUUUAUUUAUCCGAGCAACCAAUAAGGAAUAAUUACGUGUAGAUACGUGUACAUACGUAAUAUAACCACGCCCUUUAUUCAAUAAAAGCAGAGAGGUUACAGUACUCUACCAAACAUUCAACAGGCGGUGGUGUUUCUAACGUUACACGGCAAAAGAUCGCAAAACAUGGAUGCUCUUACGAACGCACCAAGAAAGGAAAUCGCAGGGUCUGAAAAGAAUCAUGUAUGGCCGCUAUCAGACGGUCGAUUCUUUGGAUUUCGUUUCCACGAUGAUAUGAAAUGCGUCACUCUGUGUAUCGGUCCAACAGUAAGAUUUGAGGAUGCGACCGUUUUGAUAACUCUUAAUGGAGAGGAAUGGCAUAGCUUCUCAAGACAUUGUUCAGUUUUUAACACCUAUCUCAUUUACAGAAAUUGUUACUGUAAACCGGAUUACCAUGAGAAAUUUAAUUUAACAUGGACACCCUAUAUACAAACCGGAACAAUGUUGCGUUCAUUCAAUCUAUAUCCGUAUUUAAAUGCCAAAUCGUACAA